RNAcentral lists this ribosomal RNA (514 nucleotides) under uncultured Verrucomicrobiota bacterium. RNAcentral's name for it is "bacterial SSU rRNA". It matches the Rfam family "Bacterial small subunit ribosomal RNA", at positions 476 to 988 of the family's 1533-position model. Lineage: Bacteria; Pseudomonadati; Verrucomicrobiota. The record is from RNAcentral.
UACCUCCAGAGGAAGCCACGGCUAACUCUGUGCCAGCAGCCGCGGUAAUACAGAGGUGGCGAGCGUUGUUCGGAUUUACUGGGCGUAAAGGGUGCGUAGGCGGUCUCGUGUGUCGGAUGUGAAAUUUUACGGCUCAACCGUGAAGGGUCAUCCGAAACUGCGGGACUAGAGUACCGGAGGGGAGAGCGGAAUUCUUGGUGUAGCGGUGAAAUGCGUAGAUAUCAAGAAGAACGCCGGCGGCGAAGGCGGCUCUCUGGACGGAUACUGACGCUGAGGCACGAAAGCUGGGGUAGCAAAGAGGAUUAGAUACCCUCGUAGUCCCAGCCGUAAACGUUGUGCACUUGGUGUGGGAGGAGUUAUCCCCUUCCGUGCCGGAGUUAACGCGUUAAGUGCACCGCCUGGGGAGUACGGCCGCAAGGCUAAAACUCAAAGGAAUUGACGGGGGCCCGCACAAGCGGUGGAGCAUGUGGCUUAAUUCGAUGCAACGCGAAGAACCUUACCUGGGUUUGACAUG